Molecule: non-coding RNA, 23 nt
Filed under: Arabidopsis thaliana (thale cress)
Lineage: Eukaryota; Viridiplantae; Streptophyta; Magnoliopsida; Brassicales; Brassicaceae
Source: RNAcentral
CUGAUACGACUUUGUUUGCUCCA